Molecule: unclassified non-coding RNA, 433 nt
Filed under: soil metagenome
Description: partial contains 5.8S ribosomal RNA, internal transcribed spacer 2, and large subunit ribosomal RNA
Rfam family: 5.8S ribosomal RNA (bases 1-120)
Source: RNAcentral
GACGAAGAACGUAGCGAAAUGCGAUACGUAAUGUGAAUUGCAGAAUUCAGUGAAUCAUCGAAUCUUUGAACGCAUAUUGCGCUCUCUGGUAUUCCGGAGAGCAUGCUUGUUUGAGUAUCAGUAAACACCUCAACUCCCCUUUCUUUUUUUGAAAUGGGAGCUGGACUUGAGUGAUCCCAACGCUUUUCUCACCGAAAAGUGGCGGGUUACUUGAAAUGCAGGUGCAGCUGGACUUUUCUCUGAGCUAAAAGCAUAUCUAUUUAGUCUGCCUAAAAAACAGAUUAUUACCUUUGCUGCAGCUAACAUAAAGGAGAUUAGUUCUUGUGCUGACUGAUGCAGGAUUCACAGAGACAGCUUCGGCUGGCCUUUGUAAACUCGAUCUCAAAUCAAGUAAGACUACCCGCUGAACUUAAGCAUAUCAAUAAGCGGAGGA